This 207-nucleotide ribosomal RNA is filed under the name uncultured bacterium. RNAcentral's name for it is "partial 16S ribosomal RNA". It matches the Rfam family "Bacterial small subunit ribosomal RNA", at positions 568 to 774 of the family's 1533-position model. The record is from RNAcentral.
AGCGCAGGCGGGAGAACAAGUUGGAAGUGAAAUCCAUGGGCUCAACCCAUGAACUGCUUUCAAAACUGUUUUUCUUGAGUAGUGCAGAGGUAGGCGGAAUUCCCGGUGUAGCGGUGGAAUGCGUAGAUAUCGGGAGGAACGCCAGUGGCGAAGGCGGCCUACUGGGCACCAACUGACGCUGAGGCUCGAAAGUGUGGGUAGCAAACA